UGAAGAGCAUGCACAUGAGGUUUACUUCACUAGCUACCCAAGGUAGAGUUGGACAGUACCAGGCAGGACUCUGACCAGAGAGGUUGGGUGUAUAGUAUAGGGCUAUAUAUAGGAGGGCUGGGUGCCUAAACUCCUACUAUGGUGCCUGUCAAGAUGACAUUAUAUUAGCUGGGUGCUAAUUAUGGUUGUGUGCCUGUAAAUAUGUUAUUUUCAAGCUGUGUGCUUCGAAGCUGUGACGUCUGUGGCUGUGUGCCCUUUGUACAGUGUUUGUAGGACUGUGUCCAUGUGGCUGUGUGCCCUUCGUCAAGGACUGUGUGUCCAGUUGGCUGUGUGCCUAUUUUGAAGGACUGUGUGUCCGAACGGCUGUGUGCCUAUUUUUCCAAGGACUGUGUGUCCAUAAAAGUCUGUGGUAAAGCCUGUGUCCAGGGUUUUCCGGAUGAAGUAACUUGGGGAGUUGAUGUAACCUCUAUAUACGACCUUGAAGAGUCUAUAUACGACCUUGAGGAGUUUAUAUACGACCUUGAGGAGUCUAUGUAUGACCUUGAUGAACCUGAAGAUACCUAGGCCUCAGAGGAACCUACACAAUGACCUUGAGGAGCCUAUUUAACCUUGAAACCUAUGCGACCUUGAGUUAACCUUGUUGGGACAUCCCAUCGGAUACGUUGGGAAGACCAGUGAAAUCAGACCAGUGAUGAAAUUGUACCUGUUAAAGACAUUCGCGCGUGUUAAAUUUAAAAUUACUUGCAAUUGGACUCUAGGCUAAUUCUGUAAUUUAAAGUACAUAACGUAGGUGUAAGUAUCUUUAGGUGUGUGUGAGAGAAACCUGCAAGAUUAACGAUUAUGCAUUUCAUGUUUGUUUUGUUGUGUUUAGUUUGUAAAUAAAUGUACAUAAUUUGUUA
Molecule: long non-coding RNA, 899 nt
Organism: Pecten maximus
Lineage: Eukaryota; Metazoa; Mollusca; Bivalvia; Pectinida; Pectinidae
Exons: 2
Source: RefSeq, a predicted model, not a curated record